GUUUACGAAAAGAUGUGCAAACAUGAUCAGCAGCCAAUCCCGUCUGAUCUCGGAAGCUAAGCAGGGUCGGGCCUGAUUAGUACUUGAAUAGGAGACCACCUAGGAAGACCAGGUGCUGUAGGCG
Pteropus vampyrus (large flying fox) is the source of this 124-nucleotide ribosomal RNA. The record is from Ensembl. NCBI's taxonomy places the organism in Eukaryota, Metazoa, Chordata, Mammalia, Chiroptera, Pteropodidae.